RNAcentral lists this ribosomal RNA (412 nucleotides) under Salmonella enterica subsp. enterica. Its description in RNAcentral is "bacterial SSU rRNA". It matches the Rfam family "Bacterial small subunit ribosomal RNA", at positions 27 to 435 of the family's 1533-position model. The record is from RNAcentral. Lineage: Bacteria; Pseudomonadati; Pseudomonadota; Gammaproteobacteria; Enterobacterales; Enterobacteriaceae.
GAUUGAACGCUGGCGGCAGGCCUAACACAUGCAAGUCGAACGGUAACAGGAAGCAGCUUGCUGCUUCGCUGACGAGUGGCGGACGGGUGAGUAAUGUCUGGGAAACUGCCUGAUGGAGGGGGAUAACUACUGGAAACGGUGGCUAAUACCGCAUAACGUCGCAAGACCAAAGAGGGGGACCUUCGGGCCUCUUGCCAUCAGAUGUGCCCAGAUGGGAUUAGCUUGUUGGUGAGGUAACGGCUCACCAAGGCGACGAUCCCUAGCUGGUCUGAGAGGAUGACCAGCCACACUGGAACUGAGACACGGUCCAGACUCCUACGGGAGGCAGCAGUGGGGAAUAUUGCACAAUGGGCGCAAGCCUGAUGCAGCCAUGCCGCGUGUAUGAAGAAGGCCUUCGGGUUGUAAAGUACUU